Sapajus apella (tufted capuchin) is the source of this 742-nucleotide long non-coding RNA. RefSeq lists it as uncharacterized. NCBI's taxonomy places the organism in Eukaryota, Metazoa, Chordata, Mammalia, Primates, Cebidae. The record is from RefSeq and is a predicted model, not a curated record. The transcript is spliced from 2 exons.
GUAUGAAAUUAUUAUAUAAAUUUAAUCUGUUAAGAUGAUUCCAGUUACUCCCCAUGAGAAAACAGAUGUCCAAAACUAUGUAUGCUACCUUCUCUGGCUACAGGAAAUUCCUUUGUAAUCUUUAUUUCUAACACUCACCAAAUGAGUAUGUGUACCUUAAAAUAUCUUUUUAUUUUAGUGGAGGGGUAAGGAAUAUGAAUGAGAGUAAUUUUGCCUAAUGUUAAAAAUUAAUCAUUGCAUCCUAUGGAAGUCCCCAUUAUAUGCAUGUCCACAAUGAUGCUAUGUGGGACAGAGUUCUCAUUUGGGCGCUAGACCAAUGUCACACCCCUGCCAUCGUCAAGGAUGCCCUGGAAGACUGGAAAUCACAAUAAAAAAUCCUCUGAUUGUGACAGAAAACUUGUGAGGCAGGAUGCUGUGCCCACAGGUCAGUGCUGCCUGGCCAGGACCCAGACCAGGAAAAUGAGCCCCUCUGGAAGGCAUCUCCCCUCCCCUCAUCAACUUCUGAAAACCACACUGCGGGGGCACAUCUCAUGUGCAGAACCUUCAUCACAUCUGGGACCCCGAAUGCCAAAGACGUGAGAGUUAGCCUCUACAGAAACGACCAUGAACAUCCUGCUGGAGGUCAGGGGAUAAAAGGAAUAUAGAGAAAACUGAUUCAUAAAAUCUGAGGGAGGCAUGCACACAUUUACAUAUGUUAAAUAUUUUUUUCUCAACUGUCCCUUCAUUAAAAUUCUUUUAAUAC